AAAUAUACUAUUUUCUCCCCUUCUGUGUAUUCUUGGAAGAGGGGAUAAAUAUCAACAGUGAUGGAAUCUACUCUAAUUGCUUGCCAAGACUAAAAAUCCAUAAACAACUCUGUUUGUCAAAGGAAUGCUGCAUAAAAAUUUUCGUACAGACAGAAAGAUUAGGACAAAUUUACAAAAGCAAUCUUUAUUCUUCUUUACAUAAAAUUGCAUAUAUAACUGCAUUAAGAGAGAAGACAAUAUCCAGGAAAAUAGUCCAGGACUGGCACAACUGUUCUAGGAAGUUACCAAGGCUCUGCAAAGGCAUCUGAGGGGGAGAGCUGAUUUUAAUUGGAACUCUAAUACAAUUCCAUUACAGUCAAGGUCUGUAAAGGUGACACAUGGAAAUAGAGGACUUUGCACGUGAGGGCGAUCUGGCUGCAACAGUCUUUCAUGUCAUUGAUUGUCAGGGUUGAUUUGGCUGCUCUGGCUACCUAGACUCAGGAAGCACGUGAGCCUACAGCUGAACUUCACUGUAGAAAGUUGUAAGAAAGGCCAAGAACUGAAGCAGAAGAGCAAGCAAGAAAGAAAAUUCUCUGCAGGCUCUGUCUUGUACUGGAGUUGCUACCUUUAGCCCACUGGAUCACUGUGCUUGAAAUUCCCACAUUAUUCAUUCUGCAAAGUUAAGACAUAAAGUAAGAUCCUGACAAAAGAGCCUUUCCUUUGACCAGUGUCCGGAAACCACAGGAUGAGCUGAGCACGAAAAUGAAAAUCGGCCAGGCGCAGGGGCACAUGCCUGUAAUCCCAUCACUUUGGGAGGCCGAGGCGGGCAGAUC
Non-coding RNA from Macaca mulatta (Rhesus monkey), 812 nucleotides. NCBI's taxonomy places the organism in Eukaryota, Metazoa, Chordata, Mammalia, Primates, Cercopithecidae. The record is from RefSeq and is a predicted model, not a curated record.